This 73-nucleotide transfer RNA is filed under the name Caudoviricetes sp. RNAcentral describes it as "tRNA-His". It matches the Rfam family "tRNA". Rfam says of the family: Transfer RNA (tRNA) molecules are approximately 80 nucleotides in length. Their secondary structure includes four short double-helical elements and three loops (D, anti-codon, and T loops). The record is from RNAcentral. Lineage: Duplodnaviria; Heunggongvirae; Uroviricota; Caudoviricetes.
GUGUUUAUAGUUCAACGGUUAGAAUAACUGAUUGUGGUUCAGUAGAUGUGGUUUCGACUACCACUAAACACCC